UGUCUCUUAUUCUUAUGGUUCCAUUUCAAUAAUUCUAGGACCAUACAUUCAUUCUUGCACUUACUACCACAUUUAUCCUACCCAACUUCUCCACUUGCUUUUCAAUUUAUAUGUAAAGUAUAUAUUUGUAUUCUAUGUAUAUUCCUCUUAUCCCGAAAUAUCACUUAAAUUUGGAUUUUUCCUUCUUUAUAUGCUGCCGUUUUCUGAUCUCUUGACCCAAAUAUUCGCUGUAGGAUUUUCUCUCGAAUUUCACAAGAUUUUGAUCAUAGUUAUUUUUGUUGGACCACGUUAAUCACGCAUAUAGAUUUAAUAUGAGACUUACUUUAUAUGUUGUUAUU
This is a non-coding RNA of Cinara cedri, 338 nucleotides long. The record is from the annotation of a GenBank genome assembly. NCBI's taxonomy places the organism in Eukaryota, Metazoa, Arthropoda, Insecta, Hemiptera, Aphididae.